Molecule: unclassified non-coding RNA, 1318 nt
Filed under: Acromyrmex echinatior (Panamanian leafcutter ant)
Lineage: Eukaryota; Metazoa; Arthropoda; Insecta; Hymenoptera; Formicidae
Description: tropomodulin, transcript variant X1
Source: RNAcentral
GAACGGUCUUUGAAUUCCUGCAUCCACACACAACGGGUGGUGGCACGCGGUACGCCCAUCCGAAGUGACACCGCGACGCGUCAUCGAACUUCUUCGUCGACCAAAACAACCACCAUGACGACAGCGGCCAAGCUGUACGGCAAGGAUCUGAGCGAGUAUGAUGACAUUGACGUGGAUCAACUGCUGGCAGAGCUUACGCCGGAAGAGCUUAAUAUAUUGGCCAAGGAAGUGGAUCCUGAUGACAGUUUUAUGCCGCCCUCACAACGUUGCAGUUAUGAAUGCAAUAAGAGUCCUACAGGGCCAUUGAAUCGCAAGAAGCUCAUUGAGCAUAUCAACAAACAAGCUUUAGAGACACCUGAUAUUCCAGAACUGAAGCCAUAUGUACCUGGUGUAAUUAGGGGCAAGAAAUGGGUACCUCCGCCACAAGACAACACGAAAGAAAAGGAGGCAGACGAGCAGAUCGCGAUAGAUCUUGGUGAAGAGUAUGAACAAGCGCUUUCGGCCGCCACCCAAGAAGAAAUCAUUGAUCUUGCUGCUAUUCUUGGAUUUCAUUCUAUGAUGAAUCAAGAUCAGUAUCACGCAUCUUUACUGAAUUCUGGACAGCCAGUCGGGCUCGGUUGGGAUGGUGUGACGAAAGCUAGUCAACCGAAAAUUUAUCCGAUGGAACCGCCUAAUGAUACAGACGUUGACGCUACCAUUAAACAAGUGCGAGACGAUGAUUCCUCUCUAACUGAUUUAAAUUGGAACAAUAUUAAAAAUAUUUCGGACGAAAAAUUCAUGCAGUUGUUCGAAGGUUUGGAAAUGAACACACAUCUCGAAUCGCUAAGUUUAACCAAUGUUGGACUCAAUGACAAGACCGCGCAACGGCUAGCCGAUGCCAUAGAGAAGAAUUCGACACUCAGAGUACUCAAUGUGGAGACAAAUUUCAUAAGCCCGCCUGUGAUAGUAAGGCUGAUCAGAUCCCUUCUUAAAACAAAAUCAAUCGAAGAAUUCCGAUGUUCGAAUCAGAGGUCACAAGUAUUGGGUAACAAAAUUGAGAUGGAAAUCACACAAUUGGUAGAACAAAACCCGACGUUGUUACGACUCGGGUUGCAUCUGGAGUUCAAUGAUGCUAGACAUCGCGUAGCUGCGCAUCUGCAACGCAACAUCGAUAGGAUACGGAAAGAUCUAACGCUGCGGCUACAGUUCCGAUUCUUUAACAUGAACCACAGGAAACCUGCCUUGAUUCAAUGAAAGUACGGCAGUCCCGGCUCGGGGUGGCGACAUCUUAACGCGAAGUGGCGUUCGCCUAGAUCGCCUGCGCCGCAUGGGAAGAGCU